GACACUGUUGAGAAUGGAGACUAUUUCCUUACCAACUAUACAUACAGAGAAGGUCACUUGAAGUCAAGGGUUGUUAACAACAACUACCGGGGAGUUGAUUCUCUGAGAUACGAUACAUUUCAGAUUCUUGGUGUGACCUCAAGACCUAAUGCUGUUAUUCUGAAUGGAAAAAACAUCCACAAUAACAUACAGUACCAGGAAAAUGGGAAACUCACCAUAAACAUUUUUGCACCACUUGGUGAAGAGUUGGAC
Elgaria multicarinata webbii is the source of this 252-nucleotide long non-coding RNA. RefSeq lists it as uncharacterized. The transcript has 3 exons. NCBI's taxonomy places the organism in Eukaryota, Metazoa, Chordata, Lepidosauria, Squamata, Anguidae. The record is from RefSeq and is a predicted model, not a curated record.